Austrofundulus limnaeus is the source of this 293-nucleotide long non-coding RNA. RefSeq lists it as uncharacterized. The record is from RefSeq and is a predicted model, not a curated record. NCBI's taxonomy places the organism in Eukaryota, Metazoa, Chordata, Actinopteri, Cyprinodontiformes, Rivulidae. The transcript is spliced from 3 exons.
CAGAAAUCUGCAGGAUGGCUUCUGACCAUGGAGAGUGGUUUGGCACAAAACCUGCUGAUGARGAAAUUCAAGAGAUCUGUGAUCAGGUGAGGAGCCAAGUGGAGGAAGAAACACAAAAGAAUCACAAGGAAUUCAAAGCAAUUGUGUACAGAGUGGGAGGUUGGAGGCAUUUGUGUGGAGUAUCCUACUUUUUGAUAAAGGUUAAGAUAGAAGAAAACAAUUACCUCCAUCUGCAGCUACGUAGAGUCUCUUGUCCAGGACUGCCCGUCUAUCUGACAGCAUGGCAAGGAAAC